GCCAGGUGUGGUAGCGCACGCCUGUAAUCCCAGUGGCUCCGGAAGUUGAGGCAGGAGAUCGCAAGUUCAAAGCCAGCCUCAGAAACUUAGUAAGGGGCUAAGCAACUCAGUGAGACCCUGUCUCUA
This 126-nucleotide small RNA is filed under the name Marmota monax (woodchuck). Lineage: Eukaryota; Metazoa; Chordata; Mammalia; Rodentia; Sciuridae. The record is from RNAcentral.